UGCGAACAAACAGUCUCUACAGGUGAAACAUGACUCCCUGAAGCCACCUCCUGACUAUGCAACUCCUCACAUAGACGCAAGCUUCUUCCUAUCAAACUAUUUAGAACUCAAAUACAAAAGACGUCCUUUAUCGAUGUCUUCCACCUCCAAUAUUGACGCUCCAAUAUUGCUCUUCGUCAAUAACACCUAAAUUUUUGAAUUCACACCCAGACCCAACGUGAUCCAACCUACCACAAAAUAAACAGAAAAAAUGAAUUC
Molecule: long non-coding RNA, 258 nt
Filed under: Prunus persica (peach)
Lineage: Eukaryota; Viridiplantae; Streptophyta; Magnoliopsida; Rosales; Rosaceae
Description: long non-coding RNA (PPER_LNC004913)
Source: RNAcentral